RNAcentral lists this ribosomal RNA (526 nucleotides) under Salmonella enterica. RNAcentral's name for it is "partial 23S ribosomal RNA". It matches the Rfam family "Bacterial large subunit ribosomal RNA", at positions 2408 to 2925 of the family's 2925-position model. The record is from RNAcentral. Lineage: Bacteria; Pseudomonadati; Pseudomonadota; Gammaproteobacteria; Enterobacterales; Enterobacteriaceae.
GGUCAUAGUGAUCCGGUGGUUCUGAAUGGAAGGGCCAUCGCUCAACGGAUAAAAGGUACUCCGGGGAUAACAGGCUGAUACCGCCCAAGAGUUCAUAUCGACGGCGGUGUUUGGCACCUCGAUGUCGGCUCAUCACAUCCUGGGGCUGAAGUAGGUCCCAAGGGUAUGGCUGUUCGCCAUUUAAAGUGGUACGCGAGCUGGGUUUAGAACGUCGUGAGACAGUUCGGUCCCUAUCUGCCGUGGGCGCUGGAGAACUGAGGGGGGCUGCUCCUAGUACGAGAGGACCGGAGUGGACGCAUCACUGGUGUUCGGGUUGUCAUGCCAAUGGCACUGCCCGGUAGCUAAAUGCGGAAGAGAUAAGUGCUGAAAGCAUCUAAGCACGAAACUUGCCCCGAGAUGAGUUCUCCCUGAGACUUAGAGUCUCCUGAAGGAACGUUGAAGACGACGACGUUGAUAGGCCGGGUGUGUAAGCGCAGCGAUGCGUUGAGCUAACCGGUACUAAUGAACCGUGAGGCUUAACCUUACA